Molecule: long non-coding RNA, 693 nt
Organism: Homo sapiens (human)
Lineage: Eukaryota; Metazoa; Chordata; Mammalia; Primates; Hominidae
Product: MIR7515 host gene
Source: Ensembl
AAAACUUUUAAGAGGUGUUUUAAACGUCGUAUGGGCCAAAGAGAAGCUGGAUUUCCUAUUGGAGUCACCUGUAACACACGUGUGACGAAAUUGGCCUGUGAGGACAAGGCAGUGAGCAGAGAGGACAGCAGUCCUUAUGAGAUCAAGCUCUAAGGUAUCCUAGACACAUUUGGAGAAUUCACCUGAGCUACAGGAUGUGAUGGGAACACUGAGGUUCAGAAAGAUAUGUAAUAUAUUCGUUGGCAAACUACUAUUACAGAUUGUUAGGGGCACAGUUGAGCUUCUGGAGGCGGAGACCAGGGUCCGCGAGUUGCUUCCCUGCAUAUUAGUUACAGAUUGGUCAAGUUUUGAGAAGAAUGCGAAGAAGAAAGGAAGAGUGAGCCUCUCUUUCCCAUCGUUACCCUCCAUUGUCCUCUUGACACCCUGCUUUCACAGAGAAAGAGUUUGAGACCCUCUCCCAGGAGCCAAGGAGAGGGGAACAGCUGGCUUCACAUCAUCUUUCUAUUCAACAAGAUACAAAAAGCUGAAGCCAGGAUGAUAGAAAAGCAACAAAGAAGACACGGUCCUUACUCAUUUCCCUUCCCACUUCAGAGCAAAUAUGGUGCCUGGUGUUCGAAGGGAGAACUUGUGGGCAGAGCAGGAAGCGUGAGUAUGGUUGAAGGAUCAAAUAUUUGGUUCAGGCAUCAGGGAGCC